CCUACGGGAGGCAGCAGUGGGAAUAUUGGACAAUGGGCGAAAGCCUGAUCCAGCCAUGCCGCGUGUGUGAAGAAGGCCUUCGGGUUGUAAAGCACUUUCAGUGGGGAAGAAAGCCUUGGGGCUAAUACCCUCGAGGAAGGACAUCACCCACAGAAGAAGCACCGGCUAACUCCGUGCCAGCAGCCGCGGUAAUACGGAGGGUGCGAGCGUUAAUCGGAAUUACUGGGCGUAAAGCGCGCGUAGGCGGUCUGAUAAGCCGGUUGUGAAAGCCCCGGGCUCAACCUGGGAACGGCAUCCGGAACUGUCAGGCUAGAGUGCAGGAGAGGAAGGUAGAAUUCCCGGUGUAGCGGUGAAAUGCGUAGAGAUCGGGAGGAAUACCAGUGGCGAAGGCGGCCUUCUGGACUGACACUGACGCUGAGGUGCGAAAGCGUGGGUAGCAAACAGGAUUAGAUACCCGAGUAGUC
RNAcentral lists this ribosomal RNA (464 nucleotides) under Vreelandella stevensii. RNAcentral describes it as "partial 16S ribosomal RNA". It matches the Rfam family "Bacterial small subunit ribosomal RNA", at positions 338 to 795 of the family's 1533-position model. Lineage: Bacteria; Pseudomonadati; Pseudomonadota; Gammaproteobacteria; Oceanospirillales; Halomonadaceae. The record is from RNAcentral.